RNAcentral lists this ribosomal RNA (287 nucleotides) under uncultured bacterium. Its description in RNAcentral is "partial 16S ribosomal RNA". It matches the Rfam family "Bacterial small subunit ribosomal RNA", at positions 337 to 641 of the family's 1533-position model. The record is from RNAcentral.
ACCUACGGGGCGCAGCAGUGGGGAAUAUUGCGCAAUGGGGGCAACCCUGACGCAGCAACGCCGCGUGAUUGAAGAAGGCCUUCGGGUUGUAAAGAUCUUUAAUCGGGGACGAAUUUUGACGGUACCCGAAGAAUAAGCUCCGGCUAACUACGUGCCAGCAGCCGCGGUAAUACGUAGGGAGCAAGCGUUAUCCGGAUUUACUGGGUGUAAAGGGUGCGUAGGCGGCCUGCUAAGUCUGGAGUGAAAGGUACCGGCUCAACCGGUACAGGCUCUGGAAACUGGCGGGC